RNAcentral lists this long non-coding RNA (225 nucleotides) under Elaeis guineensis (African oil palm). RNAcentral's name for it is "long non-coding RNA (EGUI_LNC052514)". The record is from RNAcentral. Lineage: Eukaryota; Viridiplantae; Streptophyta; Magnoliopsida; Arecales; Arecaceae.
GAUUUCUUUGUCAACUGACGAACUUCCCUUCAGAGGUCUCGAAUCAUCGACUUCAGAGGAAUCCCCUCUGACAGGGGAAGAGCUUCGACAGGGCACUGUCAUUGGAAAGCAAGAGCACCACGACUCAAAUUAGUGCAAGAAGACAAAAAAGAAGAAAAAGAAUGCAGAAGAAAAAGAAGGGCUCUUUGUAAAGAAGAAUCUGAUUUUAUUGAUUAAAUAAUUUUC